This 254-nucleotide ribosomal RNA is filed under the name uncultured bacterium. RNAcentral's name for it is "partial 16S ribosomal RNA". It matches the Rfam family "Bacterial small subunit ribosomal RNA", at positions 524 to 776 of the family's 1533-position model. The record is from RNAcentral.
GACGUAGGGGGCGAGCGUUAUCCGGAUUCACUGGGCGUAAAGGGCGCGCAGGCGGCUACGUAAGUCCGGCGUGAAAUCCCAUGGCUUAACUGUGGAACUGCGUCGGAUACUGCGUUGGCUUGAGGACGGUAGAGGCUUUUGGAACUAGCGGUGUAGCGGUGAAAUGCGCAGAUAUCGCUAGGAACGCCGGUGGCGAAGGCGGAAAGCUGGGCCGAUCCUGACGCUGAGGCGCGAAAGCUAGGGGAGCGAACCGG